Molecule: unclassified non-coding RNA, 276 nt
Filed under: fungal sp.
Lineage: Eukaryota; Fungi
Description: partial internal transcribed spacer region
Rfam family: Eukaryotic small subunit ribosomal RNA (bases 1-46)
Source: RNAcentral
AAGUCGUAACAAGGUAACCGUAGGUGAACCUGCGGUUGGAUCAUUAAUAAAAUUUUUAGCCUGGGAGUUUAAUUUCUCCUAGUCGCUAUUCAUUUUUUGUGCACUUUAAAUUGUAUCGCCCUUCUAUAUAUUUCUUUGCCCUAAUUAUAGGGUAGGAAGUGUUGGGGGGGAAUUUUUAAAAACUUUUGUAAUAAAUUCCUAGCCUAAAAAAAGUUGAAUUUUCGAAUUCUAAUAAAAUUUUAUAAACAACUUUUGACAACGGAUCUCUAGGCUCUC